ACGUGGGUAACCUGCCUUAUAGUGGGGGAUAGCCUUUCGAAAGGAAGAUUAAUACCGCAUAAGAUUGUAGUAUCGCAUGAUAUAGCAAUUAAAGGAGCAAUUCGCUAUAAGAUGGACCCGCGUCGCAUUAGCUAGUUGGUGAGGUAAUGGCUCACCAAGGCGACGAUGCGUAGCCGGUCUGAGAGGAUGAACGGCCACAUUGGGACUGAGACACGGCCCAGACUCCUACGGGAGGCAGCAUG
This 242-nucleotide ribosomal RNA is filed under the name uncultured bacterium. RNAcentral's name for it is "partial 16S ribosomal RNA". It matches the Rfam family "Bacterial small subunit ribosomal RNA", at positions 115 to 353 of the family's 1533-position model. The record is from RNAcentral.